CUGGUUGAUCCUGCCAGUAGUCAUAUGCUUGUCUCAAAGAUUAAGCCAUGCAUGUGUAAGUAUAACCUUUUGUACGGGAAAACUGCGAAUGGCUCAUUAAAACAGUUAUAGUUUAUUUGAUGGUCUUUUUUUACAUGGAUAACCAUGGAAAUGCUAUGGCUAAUACAUGCGUAAAUGGAUUUGCAUGAAUUUGUAGAUCCAGUGUUUAUUAGAUACAAAACCCUCCCAUUUUAAGUUUUACUUAAGGUGGAGAUUUGGUGAUUCAUAGUAACCGAACGGAUCGCAUUUAAAAGGCUUCGGCCGGCGAUAGAUCAUUCAAGUUUCUGACCUAUCAGCUUACGACGGUAGGGUAUUGGCUUACCGUGGCAGUGACGGGUAACGGGGAAUUAGGGUUCGAUUCCGGAGAGGGAGCCUGAGAAACGGCUACCACAUCUAAGGAAGGCAGCAGGCGCGCAAAUUACCCAAUGAAAACAGUUUCGAGGUAGUGACGAGAAAUAACAAUACAGAGCAUUAAAUGUUUUGUAAUUGGAAUGGUGGGAAUAUAAACCCCUUUCAGAGUAACAAUUGGAGGGAAAGUCUGGUGCCAGCAGCCGCGGUAAUUCCAGCUCCAAUAGCGUAUAUUUGAGUUGUUGCAGUUAAAAAGCUCGUAGUUGGAUUUCUGUGUCGAUUCUCGCGGAUGCCAUGUAAUAUAUUACUGGUGUUGACUUGCUGUGAGUCGGUGCAUUUUCUCAGCUGUGUGAUAUGUUGUGUGAUAAUUCUGACUGUGGAUUUAAUUAUUUGCAAGAGGAACACACAUAGCGUAUUAUAUACCCGCUGAGACUUUUACUUUGAGAAAAAUAGAGUGUUUCUGGCAGGCUUUUUUUGCCUUGAAUACUGCAGCAUGGAAUAAUAAUUUAGGACUUUGGUUCUAUUUUGUUGGUUUCUAGGACUAGAGUAGUGAUUAAUAGGGACAGUUGGGGGCAUUCGUAUUUUACGGUCAGAGGUGAAAUUCUUAGAUUCGUAAAAGACGAACUACUGCGAAAGCAUUUGCCAAGGAUGUUUUCAUUAAUCAAGAACGACAGUAGGGGGUUUGAAGACGAUUAGAUACCGUCGUAAUCUCUACCAUAAACUAUGCCGACUAGAGAUAGGAAAACGUCUCUUGGACUUCUCCUGCAUCUCAUGAGAAAUCAAAGUCUUUGGGUUCUGGGGGGAGUAUGGUCGCAAGGCUGGAACUUAAAGGAAUUGACGGAAGGGCACCACCAGGCGUGGAGCCUGCGGCUUAAUUUGACUCAACACGGGGAAUCUCACCAGGUCCAGACAUAAGGAGGAUUGACAGAUUGAUAGCUCUUUCUUGAUUUUAUGGGUGGUGGUGCAUGGCCGUUCUUAGUUGGUGGAGUGAUCUGUCUGGUUAAUUUCGUUAACGAACGAGACCUUAACCUGCUAAAUAGGGUCGUCAAGAAAUAUAUAAUUUUUGACGUAUCACUUCUUAGAGGGACUUUGCGUGUCGAGCGCAAGGAGGUUUGAGGCAAUAACAGGUCUGUGAUGCCCUUAGAUGUUCUGGGCUGCACGCGCGCUACACUGACACAUCCAACGAGUUUAUAACCUUGGCCGACAGGUUUGGGUAAUCUUUUGAGUAUGUGUCGUGAUGGGGAUAGAUUAUUGCAAUUAUUAGUCUUCAACGAGGAAUGCCUAGUAGGCGCAGGUCAGCAGCCUGCGCCGAUUACGUCCCUGCCCUUUGUACACACCGCCCGUCGCUACAACCGAUUGGAGGGUCCUGUGAAUUCAUCGGAUAUUUUUCUUUGUUGAAUUUAUUUGACGAUAGAGAAUUAAAAGAUGUGUAAAUUGGGCUCUCUAGAGGAUGUACAAGUCGUAACAAGGUUUCCGUAG
RNAcentral lists this ribosomal RNA (1866 nucleotides) under Calyptospora funduli. RNAcentral's name for it is "SSU rRNA". It matches the Rfam family "Eukaryotic small subunit ribosomal RNA". The record is from RNAcentral. Lineage: Eukaryota; Apicomplexa; Conoidasida; Eucoccidiorida; Calyptosporidae.